RNAcentral lists this ribosomal RNA (24 nucleotides) under Phomopsis sp. TSS-138. RNAcentral's name for it is "partial 28S ribosomal RNA". Lineage: Eukaryota; Fungi; Ascomycota; Sordariomycetes; Diaporthales; Diaporthaceae. The record is from RNAcentral.
UUCUGAAAAUUUGACCUCGGAUCA